GUGGGGAAUAUUGGACAAUGGGCGAAAGCCUGAUCCAGCCAUGCCGCGUGUGUGAAGAAGGUCUUCGGAUUGUAAAGCACUUUAAGUUGGGAGGAAGGGCAGUAAGUUAAUACCUUGCUGUUUUGACGUUACCGACAGAAUAAGCACCGGCUAACUCUGUGCCAGCAGCCGCGGUAAUACAGAGGGUGCAAGCGUUAAUCGGAAUUACUGGGCGUAAAGCGCGCGUAGGUGGUUCGUUAAGUUGGAUGUCAAAGCCCCGGGCUCAACCUGGGAACUGCAUACAGAACUGGCGAGCUAGAGUACGGUAGAGGGUGGUGGAAUUUCCUGUGUAGCGGUGAAAUGCGUAGAUAUAGGAAGGAACACCAGUGGCGAAGGCGACCACCUGGACUGAUACUGACACUGAGGUGCGAAAGCGUGGGGAGCAAACAGGAUUAGAUACCCGUGUAGUCC
Molecule: ribosomal RNA, 450 nt
Filed under: uncultured bacterium
Lineage: Bacteria
Description: partial 16S ribosomal RNA
Rfam family: Bacterial small subunit ribosomal RNA
Source: RNAcentral